RNAcentral lists this transfer RNA (86 nucleotides) under Andalucia godoyi. RNAcentral describes it as "tRNA-Ser". It matches the Rfam family "tRNA". From Rfam's summary of the family: Transfer RNA (tRNA) molecules are approximately 80 nucleotides in length. Their secondary structure includes four short double-helical elements and three loops (D, anti-codon, and T loops). The record is from RNAcentral. Lineage: Eukaryota; Jakobea; Jakobida; Andaluciidae.
GGAAAGGUGGCUGAGUGGCUGAAAGCAGCAGUUUGCUAAAUUGCCGUGUCUUCAAAACACCGUGGGUUCGAAUCCCAUCCUUUCCU